ACCUUCUCAGGGUCGCACCUGGAGAGUUUCCAGUAGUCUACCAGCCUUGAUUAUGGGAGGGAGAGUCAAGCAGAGGCAUAUCCAUUCCAUUCCUAGCUUGGCCAAUGGUUAGCGAGUGGAAGGCAAUCUGCUACAAGU
Non-coding RNA from Ornithorhynchus anatinus (platypus), 138 nucleotides. The record is from Rfam. Lineage: Eukaryota; Metazoa; Chordata; Mammalia; Monotremata; Ornithorhynchidae.